Molecule: non-coding RNA, 1682 nt
Organism: Taeniopygia guttata (zebra finch)
Lineage: Eukaryota; Metazoa; Chordata; Aves; Passeriformes; Estrildidae
Source: RefSeq, a predicted model, not a curated record
UACCUUUUUUUGCUUUUUUUUUUUUUUUUUUUGAUGUUUGGGGGUUUUUCUUUGGCUUAUUUUUCUCUAAUCUUAUUCCUUGAAUUAUUCAAUUGCUUGCUCAUGCUGUUUAUGAGAUUAUCAAAAUGUGGACAAAGAGUACAAGAAAGAUUUAUUUUUUUUUUUCACCUACAAUAAUGAGGUUUCUUUUUCCUGGUCUCCUGGAAUGGCACCUUUCCUCUUAGAGAGGGCAAGUUUAUUGCUUGGAAGUGUAUGAAACAUACAACGUUUGUAUUGUCCAUCUGGAAUGGAGAUAUGUUGAGAAGCCAUUAGGAAGUGCUGAGAGUUUCCUUGUGCCUGUUGCAGACCUGCCAGUGUCUGGCUGCUCAGCAGGUCUGGUGCUUCACUGGCUGGCUAAAGCCUUCAGGAGCAGUGAAUCUCACCAGAGCAAUAACUUUGUGUGGGCCAUAUAUAUUAGCAGAAUUGCUGAUUUGUUUUGCUGUGAAAAUCAAUACAACAAUGGAGAAGUCUAUUGCCUCAUUAUUGCAUACAAUGUAUAAUGAAUUAUUAGCCUAAUACUGCGUACAAACUACAAUAUUGCAUGAGCAUUUGCACAAGUGUAUGAUUGCUAUGAGAAACAGGAGUGUUCAUGCACUUCUCUCUUCAGCUAAGGUGCUUCUCUUAUCUCCAAACCUAACCACUGGACAUUGACAAGUUGGUGCAAGCAACCAAAAUGCCCUUAAAUAAUUGAGGAUACAGCUAAGAAAAGUGCUAAUGACACUUGAACUAGCAAAAAGUACUGAGUUCAGAAAAAUGCGGAUGUUUUAUAUGCAGAUAAAAUUGACAUCUUUACAUUUGCCUUUCCCUUGAUAAUUGCAAAUAUGCAAAACCAAACUGUAUCUACCCCAGAAGGAGGCCCAGAGUAGGAACCAGAAAAAAUGCAGUCUCACUUCAAAGAUGAUCUACAUGACAGGGUCAGUAGUAACACAGGUGUGUCCAGUGAGAAUCCAAGACCUUGCAGAAAAUUUGUGUGGAAAAUUCAUGCUGUCUAGGAAAGGAAAAGUGUAUGCAGCAUGGGAAGUUCUCAGAGAGAGGCCUAUAUUUUCAAUAAAAAUUAAGUCCUUUUUAUAUCAUAGAGAAAUAAGAGGGCUUAGGGCAUCAGCACUUUGAAAAGCCAAUAGAUGUUCUUCAUGUCUAUUUUUCACUUUUAAAAGUCCAAGGAUGGAUGAAGUUUUCUUUUCUUUUCGUGAUUUUUGUUUCUCCAGACUGUUUCCAGUUUUUCAGAUGAUGAAUUGCCAUUCCAUUUAUGUGCAAUGGUGUCUCAGGAUAUAUGUGGUUUCUAGGUACCCAACUGUACUUCAAAGUGCCAGCUGCAUUUUUCAGGGAUGUUUCUGGUUCCCAGCUCCUGUUCCCAGGCUCACAGCUCCCUGGAUGGCAGGUGAGAAUAUAUCUCUGUAGGUCCUUCAUCAUAUUUGACAGUCUUUGUAGCUAUUUCUUAUACCUUAAAGCAUCUUGAUGAAGCAGUGACAAUGUUUGGAGAACUUGAUUGAAGCUGAAGCUACACACUAUUUGACAGGUAUGCUGGAUAUUUUACUUUGCAUGCACCAUUGAGAUUUACAAUCUGUGUUAGUAGAAAUUUAUAAGAAUAAUUAGAUAAUAUGCCAUUUAUUAUUGUCCAACACUGGAAGAUUGAAUGAUAAAAG